UACGAAGGGGGCUAGCGUUGCUCGAAAUCACUGGGCGUAAAGCGCGCGUAGGCGGAUCUUUAAGUCAGGGGUGAAAUCCUGGAGCUCAACUCCAGAACUGCCUUUGAUACUGGGGAUCUCGAGUCCGGAAGAGGUGAGUGGAACUCCGAGUGUAGAGGUGAAAUUCGUAGAUAUUCGGAAGAACACCAGUGGCGAAGGCGGCUCACUGGUCCGGUACUGACGCUGAGGUGCGAAAGCGUGGGGAGCAAACAGG
RNAcentral lists this ribosomal RNA (253 nucleotides) under uncultured bacterium. RNAcentral's name for it is "partial 16S ribosomal RNA". It matches the Rfam family "Bacterial small subunit ribosomal RNA", at positions 524 to 776 of the family's 1533-position model. The record is from RNAcentral.